Molecule: ribosomal RNA, 894 nt
Filed under: Nectriaceae sp. LM255
Lineage: Eukaryota; Fungi; Ascomycota; Sordariomycetes; Hypocreales; Nectriaceae
Description: SSU rRNA
Rfam family: Eukaryotic small subunit ribosomal RNA
Source: RNAcentral
AAGCCAUGCAUGUCUAAGUAUAAGCAAUUAUACAGCGAAACUGCGAAUGGCUCAUUAUAUAAGUUAUCGUUUAUUUGAUAGUACCUUACUACUUGGAUAACCGUGGUAAUUCUAGAGCUAAUACAUGCUAAAAAUCCCGACUUCGGAAGGGAUGUAUUUAUUAGAUUAAAAACCAAUGCCCUUCGGGGCUCCUUGGUGAUUCAUGAUAACUUCUCGAAUCGCAUGGCCUUGCGCCGGCGAUGGUUCAUUCAAAUUUCUUCCCUAUCAACUUUCGAUGUUUGGGUAUUGGCCAAACAUGGUUGCAACGGGUAACGGAGGGUUAGGGCUCGACCCCGGAGAAGGAGCCUGAGAAACGGCUACUACAUCCAAGGAAGGCAGCAGGCGCGCAAAUUACCCAAUCCCGACUCGGGGAGGUAGUGACAAUAAAUACUGAUACAGGGCUCUUUUGGGUCUUGUAAUUGGAAUGAGUACAAUUUAAAUCCCUUAACGAGGAACAAUUGGAGGGCAAGUCUGGUGCCAGCAGCCGCGGUAAUUCCAGCUCCAAUAGCGUAUAUUAAAGUUGUUGUGGUUAAAAAGCUCGUAGUUGAACCUUGGGCCUGGCUGGCCGGUCCGCCUCACCGCGUGUACUGGGUCCGGCCGGGCCUUUCCCUCUGUGGAACCCCAUGCCCUUCACUGGGUGUGGCGGGGAAACAGGACUUUUACUUUGAAAAAAUUAAAGUGCUCCAGGCAGGCCUAUGCUCGAAUACAUUAGCAUGGAAUAAUAAAAAUAGGACGUGGGGGUCUAUUUUGUUGGGUUUCUAAGGACCGCCCGUAAUGGAUUAAUAAGGGGACAGUCCGGGGGGCAUCCAAUAUUCCCGUUGUCAGAAGGGGGAAAUUCUUGGGAUUUUCCGGAAA